UUUACUAUCCUUUUGUAACA
Molecule: non-coding RNA, 20 nt
Filed under: Arabidopsis thaliana (thale cress)
Lineage: Eukaryota; Viridiplantae; Streptophyta; Magnoliopsida; Brassicales; Brassicaceae
Source: RNAcentral